RNAcentral lists this long non-coding RNA (1183 nucleotides) under Numida meleagris (helmeted guineafowl). Its description in RNAcentral is "lncRNA (ENSNMEG00000021635.1)". Lineage: Eukaryota; Metazoa; Chordata; Aves; Galliformes; Numididae. The record is from RNAcentral.
AGAGCAUACAUGGCACAGCAGCAGCAGCCUCAUCCUGCUGCCCUCUCUGGCAGCACCUUCACCUCAAUCAGGGCAUAACAACCAACAGGUGCUUCAAGUUUUGCUCACUGGGGCUGAGGAUCUCCUGGGAUAGCCCUGGGACAGACCUGGGCAGAAUGUCCCUCCCUGAGUCUUUAAUUUUGGUUUACCAGCUACUUUUGUGCUUCUGCUCUCCUCUGAGCUUGUGGAAAUGGCUUUUUUGUGGGUCAUUGCUCCUGUGAUGGGCUUGGAAGAAGAUGGUUGAGAGUAUUCCACUUGCUAUUGUAUCUCUGUUCUUCUUUUUAAGCGUGCAGAUGAGCUUUUAGCACAUAAAAUCUUCUAUCGCAUUUAUCUGUGGCUUUUGGAAUUUUUACCAUGCCACUGUGGGAGCUUAUGACAGAAGCACAUAAAAGGAAAAGUACUAAAAUCUCCUUUGCUGUAUCCAUGCAAGAUCCUGCACCCUACUGCAAACUGUCAAGGUUGUUUCAACUAACACUGCUCAAUGAAAGAGUCUCAGAGUAACCUAAGUGCAAGCUGAUGUCACAGUUGCUAAGAAAUUCACCCCAACGUCUCUUCUCAAGGGGAACUGAGAGCUGGGGUGGCAGGUCUGGGCUGAAGUACUGUGCAGCAGGCAGCUGCUCGUUAUCUGUCCUCUUGCAAAGAAAAUGCAAGAGAUGCGAUUGCUCCCCUUCCAUGUGGACUGCUCUUCAAUAGCUGGUUAGCCAUGGGAUUAUUUUAGCUUCAUUCAGGUGACCUUAAAUGGUAAGGACAAAAACACUCACCAAGCAAAGUAAGUGGCUCAGCCUCAUAGCACAGCCGAACAUCUUGUCAUAGCAAAAUUUAGUUACCUUUAAUUCAAGAAUUGCAUUGUGCAGCUCCUUCUGCUGAAUUUAGCAGUUACUCCUAUUUAUAGUUACUCCACUGACCUGAACAUACCCUGAGAAAACGUGUACCUCUCUCCCUGUAAGACGUUUUCUUCUAGGCCUUGCUGUCACUCACUGUGAGGACUACUCCUAUGCUGCAUACACAGGCAAGCUCAAACACUGUUAUGAGCCUAACACUGGUGCCAAAAAAACUCAGAGCUGUUAAUGUCUGCCUACUACCAUCCUCCUGAGGCUCAUGUGUUCAGCAUUAAUAAACUCAGGUUUCAAUUUACCCUGCUGCA